This 498-nucleotide ribosomal RNA is filed under the name uncultured bacterium. RNAcentral's name for it is "partial 16S ribosomal RNA". It matches the Rfam family "Bacterial small subunit ribosomal RNA", at positions 28 to 507 of the family's 1533-position model. The record is from RNAcentral.
GACGAACGCUGGCGGCGUGCCUAAUACAUGCAAGUCGAACGAGAGCGCCCGGUGCUUGCACUGGUCAAUCUAGUGGCGAACGGGUGAGUAACACGUGGGUAACCUGCCCAUCAGAGGGGGAUAACAUCCGGAAACGGAUGCUAAAACCGCAUAGGUCUUCGAACCGCAUGGUUUGAAGAGGAAAAGAGGCGCAAGCUUCUGCUGAUGGAUGGACCCGCGGUGCAUUAGCUAGUUGGUGAGGUAACGGCUCACCAAGGCCGUGAUGCAUAGCCGACCUGGGAGGGUGAUCGGCCACAUUGGGACUGAGACACGGCCCAAACUCCUACGGGAGGCAGCAGUAGGGAAUCUUACGCAAAGGACGCAAGUCUGACGGAGCAACGCCGCGUGAGUGAAGAAGGUUUUCGGAUCGUAAAACUCUGUUGUUAGAGAAGAACAAGUGCUAGAGUAACUGUUAGCGCCUUGACGGUAUCUAACCAGAAAGCCACGGCUAACUACGUG